GACGAACGCUGGCGGCGUGCUUAACACAUGCAAGUCGAACGAAGAGCGAUGGAAGCUUGCUUCUAUCAAUCUUAGUGGCGAACGGGUGAGUAACGCGUAAUCAACCUGCCCUUCAGAGGGGGACAACAGUUGGAAACGACUGCUAAUACCGCAUACGAUCUAAUCUCGGCAUCGAGGAUAGAUGAAAGGUGGCCUCUACAUGUAAGCUAUCACUGAAGGAGGGGAUUGCGUCUGAUUAGCUAGUUGGAGGGGUAACGGCCCACCAAGGCGAUGAUCAGUAGCCGGUCUGAGAGGAUGAACGGCCACAUUGGGACUGAGACACGGCCCAGACUCCUACGGGAGGCAGCAGUGGGGAAUCUUCCGCAAUGGACGAAAGUCUGACGGAGCAACGCCGCGUGAGUGAUGACGGCCUUCGGGUUGUAAAGCUCUGUUAAUCGGGACGAAAGGCCUUCUUGCGAAUAGUGAGAAGGAUUGACGGUACCGAAAGAGAAAGCCACGGCUAACUACGUG
RNAcentral lists this ribosomal RNA (510 nucleotides) under uncultured bacterium. RNAcentral's name for it is "partial 16S ribosomal RNA". It matches the Rfam family "Bacterial small subunit ribosomal RNA", at positions 28 to 507 of the family's 1533-position model. The record is from RNAcentral.